This 1499-nucleotide long non-coding RNA is filed under the name Macaca mulatta (Rhesus monkey). RNAcentral's name for it is "lncRNA (ENSMMUG00000054254.1)". The record is from RNAcentral. Lineage: Eukaryota; Metazoa; Chordata; Mammalia; Primates; Cercopithecidae.
UGGGGAAGGACACAGUGUGCGUGUCUUGCCUUCACUGCCACCUCCUCCUUCUCUCAAUAUCCUCUUGCUGGGAGGAGGUUCCUCAUCUCCGUUGUUGCAUCCAGCUGCUGCUACUGCGAGUGCCACGUGCCUUGUAAGGCACGUACAAUUCAGAGGACUUUCGAAAUUAUCUGAAAACAUGGGUGAUUCUCACUGCCAGCCUUGAUCUGUGAGAAAAGAACCGUAUACCACAGAUCCCAACCCUUCUCAGUGUAUACAACUCUUUUUAUCAUUAAAAAAAAUUAUAGAUUGUUAGACUCCUACCUGACAAAUGUAUUCCUUUAAUAUCCAUUAAUUGAGAAAAUUUACAGUGAUGAACCGCUACUUUCAGGUUGAUAAUGCUAUUUAAAUAAUUUUUACUUAAAAUCACACAUCUACAUAUAUUUGAAAUACAUAUACACACCAUUUUGGGUUGAAUUGUGUCCACCAAAAAGAUACAUCCAAGUUCUAACCUCAAGUACCUGUGAAUGUGACCUUAAGACGAGAUAAUGGAGUGACGUGGGCCCUUCACCAAAUACGUCCAUGUCCUCAUAAGAAGAGAGGAGACACACAGACAAAAAUGCACACAGAAGGAAGAUGAUGUAAAGACAGACAAGGAAGAAGGCUAUGUAAAGACAGAGGCAGAGAUUGAAGUUAAGCAGCUGCAAGCCGAGGAAAGCAGACGAUUGCUGGGAACCACCAGAAGUGAGGAAAAGGCAAGGCAGGAUUCUUCUCUAGAGCCUCCAGAGACAGCAUGACCCUGCUGAUGCCUUGCUUUCUGACUUCUGGGCUUCCAGAACUGUGAGAGAAUAAAUUUCUGUUGUUUUAAGGCCUAUAGUUUGCAGUACUUUGUUACUGCAGCCCUAGGAAACGAAUUCACCUGCAUGUGUUUAACUUUUAUUCUGUCCACAAACAAUACCUGAUGUAUGUAAGUAUUCAUGGAUCGCUGUCAAUAAUUCCGAAGUCCCCAGGUGGGAAAACAGGGUUCAGCCAACAUGAAUUUCUCUCUAUCCCCAAUUAAUAUACUGUGCUUUCCUCCUUUGGUGCCUUACUCAUUUUCUUGCUUCUGUCUACUGCGCUAUACUUCUCAUCUCCCCUACUGAAAUUCUUGCUAGUGAAAGUGCCGUUUUCAUGAAUACAUUCAUGUUCCCACCCAGAUGAAAGUGAUCUAAGGCCGGGCGUGGUGGCUCAUGCCUGUAAUCCCAGCACUUUUGGAGGCCGAGGCAGGCGGAUCACGAGGUCAGGAGAUCGAGACCAUCCUGGCUAGCAUGGUGAAACCCCGUCUGUACUAAAAAAUACAAAAAAAAAAAACUUAGCUGGGCGUGGUGGCGGGCACCUGUAGUCCCGGCUACUCAGGAGGCUGAGGCAGGAGAAUGGAGCGAACCCAGGAGGCAGAACUUGCAGUGAGCCGGGAUCACGCCACUGCACUCCAGCCUGGGCAACAGAGCGAGACUCCAUCUCAAAAAAAGAAAAAAAAAAAA